CCCUUAGAUGUCCUGGGCCGCACGCGCGCUACACUGAUGCAUUCAACGAGUUCUACCUUGGCCGAGAGGCCUGGGCAAUCUUUUGAACCUGCAUCGUGAUAGGGAUAGAUUAUUGCAAUUAUUAAUCUUGAACGAGGAAUUCCUAGUAAACGCAGAUCAUCAAUCUGCAUUGAUUACGUCCCUGCCCUUUGUACACACCGCCCGUCGCACCUACCGAUUGAAUGGUCCGGUGAAGCCUCGGGAUUGUGGCGAGUUCCCUUUAUUGGGAGUUUGUCGCGAGAACUUGUCUAAACCUUAUCAUUGAGAGGAAGGUGAAGUCGUAACA
This 325-nucleotide ribosomal RNA is filed under the name uncultured eukaryote. RNAcentral's name for it is "partial 18S ribosomal RNA". It matches the Rfam family "Eukaryotic small subunit ribosomal RNA", at positions 1470 to 1796 of the family's 1831-position model. The record is from RNAcentral.